CAACAUCGGACUCAUCUCUUGAGACCCUACAGGGCGCUCCUUCCGAGCUGCUCUGUUACCGCCGUCCUUGACGCAAUUUCCUGAAAGGAGACAAAGAGCCAUUUACUGGAACCAGGGCUGCCACCACUGGAUUCUGAAAACCGACAGGAGGAAGGAAGCGUGUCCGGCCACUGGUCUAGUCCUUCCCGUUCACAAGUCUCAGGAAGUCCUGGGCGUGCCCCAGAGGCCUUGUGUCCAGGCACGUCAGGAAUCGGAGGGAAAAGCCCCAUCUCCACGAACCCCUCCUCUCAGGCCCCCAAAACCCCUUGCUCGGGGCCCUGCACUCACUAGAGGCUCAGAGGCUGGCAGGAGGGAAGAGCGCAGGAGGCAGAAGGAGGCACCGCAGAGAGAGGGCAGCCCCGCGCCCCGGGCCCUUUGCCCGUCUUUGGGGAGCAGCUGAGCAGGCCCGGUCUUAGAGCUGCAGAAGCCAGAGGCAGGUGCUGAUUCCCUGGGGCUUUUGCAAAGCAGCAGCACGCGUGGGGCUCCGGGGCCUGGGGGGGGGGGUCCGGUCCCGCGUGGGAGCCCCGGUGGCGGGGGCCUGCGUUCAGUCGGGUUGCGACGACAGCCUCAGGCGAGCCUCCGAUGCCCACGCACCGCCUCUCCCGUGGCCGUUGGAUCCAAAUUCUGCGGAACCCAGAAAUCCCUAUUCAGAUGGAGGUCUUCUCCUUAAAAAGCAGCCAGUGAGUUCCAGACACUUGUAUCCUCCUUUGCACGCGUCUCGGGGCCUCGGACGCCGUCCUGCUCCUGCUUCUGUUCCUGCUCCGGGCAGAGGAACAAAGGGGAGCAGCUGAGAUUCUCUCUGGGCUGGUCCCCAGGAGCUGCCGGCGGGAUGGGUCCGCGGGGGAGCGAGGACUGACAGAACGGCUAAUUAUAAGGACAUGUGGGCACCAGGAGCGACAUGAUUAUUUAUGCUGCUCUCGCCCCGCGGUCUCCACCAGAAGGGGGGUCUGAGGCAGCUGGGGCCCCAGGGCCUUUGUUGGCAGGCUGCUUCUAAGCCUUCGGACCGUCCAGACCGAGGCCCAGCAGUCACCUCAUUUCAGGUGUUUAGGGAAGGAUGCGCCGUCCCCCAGUGGGGUGUCCCCCCAGCCGGUAUCAUCCCAAAGCUGUUCCCUUAUUGGGGGGGGGCGUGGACCCCUCCGAGCACCAGCCCGGCUCCAGUCAACCCUGGGAGGUCACGGAGCAGCCCAGACCCCCACCCUUUGCAGGACCGUUUCCCUCCCAUGGAGGGGGUGGUGGGGAGGGGGCCGUGUUCCAACUUGCCCCUUCCCCGGGGGUUGGGGGACUCUGGAGGGAAGUGGGAGUUGGGCUAAUGGACUCACUCCUGCGUCUCUCCUGGGAAGGGGCUUGUAUCUGUGCUGUUUGUCGGGACCCCAGACACGGCCCCAAAAUUGCACCGUGAGUGAGCUUCCCCGGGUCCCGUCUCCACCUUCUCACGCACCUGCAGACACUGCGAAUUCGAUGCUGGCCCUCUAACAGCAGAGUCCAGAGCCUCCCGUCCAUGACCUUGCCUACUUGCACACGGGCCCUUCCGGGGUUUUCUGCAGGGCUGCGGAUGUGAGGGUCGCUCCUCCUUCUCCACCCCGCCCCUCCC
This is a long non-coding RNA of Acinonyx jubatus (cheetah), 1630 nucleotides long. RefSeq lists it as uncharacterized. The transcript is spliced from 3 exons. The record is from RefSeq and is a predicted model, not a curated record. Lineage: Eukaryota; Metazoa; Chordata; Mammalia; Carnivora; Felidae.